GAUGAACGCUGGCGGCGUGCCUAAUACAUGCAAGUCGAGCGAACAGACGAGGAGCUUGCUCCUCUGACGUUAGCGGCGGACGGGUGAGUAACACGUGGAUAACCUACCUAUAAGACUGGGAUAACUUCGGGAAACCGGAGCUAAUACCGGAUAAUAUAUUGAACCGCAUGGUUCAAUAGUGAAAGACGGUUUUGCUGUCACUUAUAGAUGGAUCCGCGCCGCAUUAGCUAGUUGGUAAGGUAACGGCUUACCAAGGCGACGAUGCGUAGCCGACCUGAGCGGGUGAUCGGCCACACUGGAACUGAGACACGGUCCAGACUCCUACGGGAGGCAGCAGUAGGGAAUCUUCCGCAAUGGGCGAAAGCCUGACGGAGCAACGACGCGUGAGUGAUGAAGGUCUUCGGAUCGUAAAACUCUGUUAUUAGGGAAGAACAAAUGUGUAAGUAACUAUGCACGUCUUGACGGUACCUAAUCAGAAAGCCACGGCUAACUACGUG
This 497-nucleotide ribosomal RNA is filed under the name uncultured bacterium. RNAcentral's name for it is "partial 16S ribosomal RNA". It matches the Rfam family "Bacterial small subunit ribosomal RNA", at positions 28 to 507 of the family's 1533-position model. The record is from RNAcentral.